This 63-nucleotide transfer RNA is filed under the name Tropostreptus hamatus. RNAcentral describes it as "tRNA-Pro". The record is from RNAcentral. Lineage: Eukaryota; Metazoa; Arthropoda; Diplopoda; Spirostreptida; Spirostreptidae.
CAAAAAAUAGUUUAAUUAAAAUUUUAACUUUGGAAGUUAGAGAUGGGAAUGGCCCUUUUUUGA